GGCCGUGUGGAUGCAGGGCACGGUGGAGACGGCGGGCGGCGGUGAGGCGCGGCUGCGGGACCCGAGCGGGGCCUUCUCGGUGCGCGGCCUGGAACGGGUGCCGCGUGGGCGGCCUUGCCUCGUGCCAGGAAAGUAUGUGAUGGUGAUGGGAGUGGUUCAGGCCUGCAGCCCUGAGCCCUGCCUGCAGGCUGUGAAGAUGACAGACCUUUCCGAUAAUCCGCUCCACGAGAGCAUGUGGGAGCUGGAAGUGGAAGAUUUACACAGGAAUAUUCCUUAGAUGGUGUGGGAACCGUCCAUAAAAGCAGCCGAAACACUGAAACAGCUCCGGUUCUUAUACCAUCUGGAUUUCAUGGCCACCACUCAGUAUACAUUUCUCAAAAGCAUAUCUGAGAGCUUAGCUCCAAGAAGUCCGGAUGUAGGAUUUCUAAAUCCUGGGACACAUCAGUGAACUCAGCCCCUGCUGCCCCUUGCUUUGACUGUUUGCUGAUGAAAAGCAGAUGUUUCGUUUGGUAGUCUGUCUCUGUCUCUGUCUCUCUUUCUUUUUUUUUUUUUUUUUUUUUGCUUUACAUGGGUUAACGCUCUCUUCCUAAAGCACCCAGGAAUCUCCCGUCGCAUUUGCCAAGUUUUACAAGUGAUGAUGCUUUUUCCAUGACCACCACGACCCAGUUUUACGAGGCAAAAUUUGAAUCUCGGUCUCUGCCCACGGAGAUUAAAGUGUGGUUCUGGGCAGGAAAACAGGCUGCAUGGAAAAGGAAUGACCUCAUGGCUCCAUGGCUCCCCCGUCAACAACUUCCAUGUCCAGUUUGCAAGUCCAGCGGGGUGUUCUCUAGCUGCAGGCCCUGGGGCCUCUCAAAGACGCAGCCCUCUUCCUGCUUCGGAUGCCGCUCAGCCCUGGGGGGAAGGUCCCUUCCCCGCAGGUGGGGACCGUGAAGCCUGCCCUUCUUCCUUCACUUGGGAUGUUGAAACCCUUCCAGAGUUUCUUGUUGAAACCAAAGUCAAGGUUAAGAAGGACUUCCAGGCACGAAUGAAACUUUUGGUGAGACUCUGGGAGGGAGACACGGUCCUGGGUCAGCAUCUGCGCCGGGUUUUGUUGUGAUUGCAUUGAGUGCUGGCUUGCUGCUCUCGGCUGCUUCCCCAACAUCCAUUUUCCCUCGCGCUGUAAAUGCCGGGCAGCCCUCGUUGCUGUAGAGUUUUGCUGGGCUAUUGAUUUCUACCACUAAUACAUUGUUUUCUAGGCUGUAUGUUUUUCAAAUAGGUUUGUAAGCCAGCUGACAUCUCUAGAUAAAAAGAGCAGAAGGUACGGGAGUUCCCACAGAGGCCUCCCUCAGUUUCCGCUGCUGUUAACAUCAUGCCGGGGUGCGCUCCGUUUGUUGAAAUGGAUGAGCCGGCACCGAUACAGUCUUAUUAAGUAAAGCCCAUCAUUUACGGUACGGCCAGGCUUUGUGCUGUGUGCAGUUCAGUGCGUGUUACAAAGGCCCCAAUCAUAUCAUGUGUUCACCAUUAAAAUAUACAGAAUACUUUUGUUUCCCUAGAAAUCCUCUGAGCUCCCCCAGUUCGUCCUGCCCUCCCCCUAACCCCAGGCCACCACUGAUCUUUGUGCGUCUCCAUAGUUUCACUUUUCCAGAAUGUCGUGUGGUUGGAAUCCCACGUACGGAGCCUUUUCAGAGCGGCUUCUUCUGCUCAGCAACGUGCAGUGAAGGUUUGUCCCUGUAGUUCUGUAGCCUGAGCGCUCGUUUCUCUUUCUCCUGACUCAUCCUCCUCCGCUGUGUGGAUGCACCAGAGUCUCUUUACCAAUUCACUUAUUGAAGGACACGGGUUCGAUUCCCGGUUUCAGCAUUUCCUCAUUAAUAGCAAGGCUGCUGCAAACAUUCCUGGGCGGGUUUUGUGUGGACGCACAGUUACUGCAUAAACGCCCAGGAGCACAAUUGGUGGUUGUCUGGUCAGCCUGUGUCUGGCCUCAUAAGAACCUGCCAGACUGUGUCUCAGCCCAUUCUGACGGCUGUCACUCACACCACAGGUUGCUGCUGAAACGCAUCAGGAAUCUUCACACUUCUGGGGGGCUGGGAAGCCCAAGGUCAAGGUGCUGCUCCCUCCUUCACAGACGCCUGUCCUCUCUCUGUCUGCACCCAGCGGGAGGGGCAAGACUGCGCCCCAGGGUCUCCUGUAAGGGCCCUGAUCCCCGUCACCCCCCAAAGGCCCCACCUCCACAUCCCAUCCAUCACACCGGGUUAGGGUUCAACGUGGGAAUUUGGGGGGGGGACACAUUUCAGGCUGUAGCACUUUGGGGUCACAGUCUGUAGCACUUGGGGGACACACAGUCUCACACUUGGGGGGACACUAGCACUUUGGGGUCACAGUCUAGCAUUUUGGAGACACAGUCUAGCACUUGCGGGGAGACACACAGUCUGCAGCAUUGUCCUCUAGAGCGGCUGAACCCCUUCGCCUUCCCAGCAGCCAUGGACGGAGCUCCUGUUCUACGGCCUCACCAGUGUUUGGUGUUGUCAGUGUUUUGGAUGUACUGUAUUUUUAAAUGCUAGCAUUUUCUUUUAAAAGUGGGGAAAUUG
Molecule: long non-coding RNA, 2564 nt
Filed under: Sus scrofa (pig)
Lineage: Eukaryota; Metazoa; Chordata; Mammalia; Artiodactyla; Suidae
Description: lncRNA (ENSSSCG00015029541.1)
Source: RNAcentral